UACGUAGGUGGCAAGCGUUAUCCGGAUUUAUUGGGCGUAAAGGGAACGCAGGCGGUCUUUUAAGUCUGAUGUGAAAGCCUUCGGCUUAAUCGGAGUAGUGCAUUGGAAACUGGGAGACUUGAGUGCAGAAGAGGAGAGUGGAACUCCAUGUGUAGCGGUGAAAUGCGUAGAUAUAUGGAAGAACACCAGUGGCGAAAGCGGCUCUCUGGUCUGUAACUGGCGCUGAGGUUCGAAAGCGUGGGUAGCAAACAGG
This 253-nucleotide ribosomal RNA is filed under the name uncultured bacterium. RNAcentral's name for it is "partial 16S ribosomal RNA". It matches the Rfam family "Bacterial small subunit ribosomal RNA", at positions 524 to 776 of the family's 1533-position model. The record is from RNAcentral.